GACGAACGCUGGCGGCGUGCUUAACACAUGCAAGUCGAACGAUGAAGCGGUGCUUGCACCGUGGAUUAGUGGCGAACGGGUGAGUAAUACGUGAGUGACCUACCUUUGACUCUGGGAUAAGCCUGGGAAACUGGGUCUAAUACCGGAUACGACCAAUCUCUGCAUGGGGUGUUGGUGGAAAGCGUUAUGGAGUGGUUUUAGAUGGGCUCACGGCCUAUCAGCUUGUUGGUGAGGUAAUGGCUUACCAAGGCGACGACGGGUAGCCGGCCUGAGAGGGUGACCGGCCACACUGGGACUGAGACACGGCCCAGACUCCUACGGGAGGCAGCAGUGGGGAAUAUUGCACAAUGGGCGCAAGCCUGAUGCAGCGACGCCGCGUGAGGGAUGACGGCCUUCGGGUUGUAAACCUCUGUUAGCAUCGAAGAAGCGAAAGUGACGGUAGGUGCAGAGAAAGCGCCGGCUAACUACGUGCCAGCAGCCGCGGUAAUACGUNAGGCGCGAGCGUUGUCCCGGAUUAUUGGGCGUAAAGAGCUUGUANGCGGUUGGUCGCGUCUGCUGUGAAGGCCGGGGCUUAACUCCGGUUUUGCAGUGGGUACGGGCUAACUAGAGUGCAGUAGGGGAGACUGGAAUUCCUGGUGUAGCGGUGGAAUGCACAGAUAUCAGGAGGAACACCGAUGGCGAAGGCAGGUCUCUGGGCUGUAACUGACGCUGAGAAGCGAAAGCAUGGGGAGCGAACAGGAUUAGAUACCCUGGUAGUCCAUGCCGUAAACGUUGGGCACUAGGUGUGGGGGACAUUCCACGUUUUCCGCGCCGUAGCUAACGCAUUAAGUGCCCCGCCUGGGGAGUACGGCCGCAAGGCUAAAACUCAAAGGAAUUGACGGGGGCCCGCACAAGCGGCGGAGCAUGCGGAUUAAUUCGAUGCAACGCGAAGAACCUUACCAAGGCUUGACAUGCAUUAGAUCGCGUCAGAGAUGGCGUUUCCCUUCGGGGCUGGUGUACAGGUGGUGCAUGGUUGUCGUCAGCUCGUGUCGUGAGAUGUUGGGUUAAGUCCCGCAACGAGCGCAACCCUCGUUCUAUGUUGCCAGCGGUUCGGCCGGGGACUCAUAGGAGACUGCCGGGGUCAACUCGGAGGAAGGUGGGGAUGACGUCAAAUCAUCAUGCCCCUUAUGUCUUGGGCUUCACGCAUGCUACAAUGGCCGGUACAGAGGGUUGCGAUACUGUGAGGUGGAGCUAAUCCCUUAAAGCCGGUCUCAGUUCGGAUUGGGGUCUGCAACUCGACCCCAUGAAGUCGGAGUCGCUAGUAAUCGCAGAUCAGCAACGCUGCGGUGAAUACGUUCCCGGGCCU
RNAcentral lists this ribosomal RNA (1345 nucleotides) under uncultured bacterium. Its description in RNAcentral is "bacterial SSU rRNA". It matches the Rfam family "Bacterial small subunit ribosomal RNA", at positions 28 to 1381 of the family's 1533-position model. The record is from RNAcentral.